Varroa destructor (honeybee mite) is the source of this 3038-nucleotide non-coding RNA. Lineage: Eukaryota; Metazoa; Arthropoda; Arachnida; Mesostigmata; Varroidae. The record is from RefSeq and is a predicted model, not a curated record.
GCCGCACACAGCGCAGCGAGUUAGUAGAAGGCGCUGACAGUGCAGUGGACACAGUGAGCAUACGGAACGGCCGUACGGAGUAGUCCGUACGCAGCUCGGUUCUCACGACGGCCCCCCGUCAAGCGGCAAGACGUGGAGGUUCAAGAUGGACAUGAUUAAAAUUUCAAAAUUGACAAUAAGUGAUCAACGGCGAGGAUCUCGUCGAUGCGGAGGGCUCUGUUUCGCCGGAUCACGAUGGAUGAUAGGGCACAGUUGUUGCCUUCAUGCCUUCACAUGUGAAUAUCUGUUCCACUACAUCAUCAAUUGAGAAUGUACGAAUGCUGGAUCGGUUCAAUGAGAAGAAGCAUUCGGUGGGAUCUUUGUUCCUCACCACAACGCACCUCAUUUUCAAUGACCCUGAACGACGCCGCGAGACCUGGUUGCUUCACAUGCAUAUACAGUCGAUGGAAAAGCAGGCCCUUACGACGUCAGGUUGUCCGCUGGUGGUGCGAUCAAAAAACUUUUUGUCGGUAACCUUUCUUAUACCUGCUGAGCGUCAAUGCCAUGACAUCUACCAAUCACUGCUGCAGUUGUCACAAUCGGGGAGUCAGAUGAUGGAGUGAUGAUGAGAAAAAAAGAAUUGAAUUUGGCAUGACCACUGCCUUGUAAUCGAAACACCGCAGACCGAUAAAUCAAACAAACAUCUAUUAAUGUAAUUGACCAUUAACACAGUAAAUUAGACUAGGUGAAAUCCAUAUGUAUGCAUAAAGUGACGCGUUUAAUGAGACUUUGAACUAAUUCGUACCAACAAAGGCUUACGGGGUUAGUGUCACUGAAUAUAUGACUGUUGUGUAAUAUAGCAUAGAAAAGAAACAGCUCGAGAGUUUCCGAGCGCAUAUUUUCACUCCCCAGAUAGUGAAUAGGACUCAAAAAUACGCAGCAAGUUUCGAAACGUUACCUGAAUUUGUCAGUCAACUAAUAGUACGUAACCACUUGUCUUUUCAGUUUGUACCUCUAUCAAACAGGCUGUGCGGCAAUCAGAAUUAUUUUCUCUAGUCUAUCAGGUAUAAGUUGCGGCUUACUAAUAAUAGAGCGGCUGUUCUGCCUGACGUUAGUAGCAUAUAUAACAGGAACUACUUACAAUUGCUGAUGAUUGGAAUCAAGAUAGCGCUUACAACUCUAAAAGGUUGUAAACGUUCUCUUUAUGGCAGACGAUUAAACCAUCCACAAUAUAAGGCUAUGAAGUUCUGGAAGAAGAAGUGCAGGGUUGCUCAUUUUCUUGUUCCUAUGUUUCGAUAAAUGCUACUCCAGAUUAAUUGACUUUCUAGGAAGCUGAAAUUAAAAUAAAAAAGACAGUUUCUCUACAAGUAACGUUCACUUUCAUCUACGCACAAGAGUUAAUUUACUGGGAUUAUACUUGCUUUUUAGUUAACUAAAUAAAACUAGCUAUAGUAGGCUAUGGUAAACUUGAAGCUUUAGCUAACUUUUCUAUUUCAUUGAUGUUGAUUACGGCUUUUGGUAUGCAUUGACACUUCAUGUAUUUACCGUAAAAUUACAAUGCAGCUUUAUUUACACGGUGGAUUCCCUAUUGCUAGUAUUGUGUUCGGAAAUGAAACACUCAGACUUAGACACGACAAGUCAUGGCGUUACACGGAUGUAAUAUCAUAAUCUGUCAAUUUAUCUUUUUAAAAUAGGAUCUACAAUAGGCAAAACGAGUGAAUCUACUACAGUAAUAAAUUCCCGUCAUUAUUAAAAUGGAAUCAGAAAUUCUUGUUAGAACGAAUGUAUUUCCAAUUCCGGUCAGCAGGUGGGCAUAUGAUAUCUUACGACCAGGUAGUUAGUCGUUAAUUGCCAGCGGUUGAAUUUUGCCAUUGCGUAAAUUUUGGUAGCAGCGGUGGGAUUUUAGGAAAUACGGACGGCUUAAUUACUCGUUUUAUGAAAACUGUGCAGAAACUUGAUGGCCGGGUUUUUGACAGCAGCGGUACGCUAGAUGGUUGGAGAAGAGGGCACGAGCAGCCAUCGACUGAUAGUGGCUGCAAGAACAAAUUGAAUUUGUACCCAUGUGACUUCGCCUUAGUAUGGUAUGAUCUAGAAGUCGUAGCCAGACCAGACAAUUAGGAAAUUCUCAAAUUAAAUGAUCGUUCUCCCCUGAAAAAAGUCGACCCACCGAAAAAGUUUAUUGAACAGGUAUAGGUGAAAGAGGGCACGUUGAGAGCGUUUCAAGGCCAAAUGUGCUCUUAUGGGCGAACUGGAGUUAGAUUACAGUUACGGUUUCCUGGUCUAACAUGAAAAAUAUAGCGAGGUUGAUCCCUUUGGUAAACAUGAUCACGGCGGCUAGUCUGGUUUGAUCUAGUGCCCUGGUUUAGGCCGUCCGGUAUCAUACACCAAAGGACUGUGAAGAGAGGAGACUGAUGACUAGUGGUGUUACGUUUAUUUAACCUAGCUCCAUUUACAAUUGUACCAACAUUUUAUGUUAUCGGCGUGGAGACCGGGACUACUUACAGGCUAAUUGUCCACAUACACAAUCAUCAAACACAAGAUUAUGCUAGUUCAGCUCCUUUGCCGUUUCAUUUAUGGGAACGGGCACUCUUCAGAGUUCGCGAUUGGUAGGUGUGUGACAAGCACCAUGAGUGUCACAUCGGUUGGGCUAUUGGAACAUACUUAGGCAUGGCCCCGGGCUGAGGCUACCAAAAGGGUUGUCAGAUUCGUCCACGCCCAACAGGAACAUCUAGAUGUUGCCGAAAAGGUCAAGAGUCAGGAGGGAUUAGGUAGAGAUAGUUGCAACUGUCGACAACUUGACAUGCGAUGUCAUUUUCGAACGGUCGUUCUUAAGAAAUUUCGUUCUGGCUAGAAAUGAGGAUGAAUGUUAUCUCAGUAUGUGCUGAUUCGUUCGUACCCCACCAUGGCCAAGAAAGGCUAGCUGCUAUCGCCAGAAUCGUGAAAAAAAGUGAGUUUCCAAAGACCGCGGUUCAGAUGAGUGGGAUCUUGCAGGAAUCUCCUACACGGAGUACAUCCGUGACUCCUUAAAACGUGAUGACUAUUGAUCCAAGAAGAACGUG